This 307-nucleotide ribosomal RNA is filed under the name uncultured Magnaporthe. RNAcentral's name for it is "partial large subunit ribosomal RNA". It matches the Rfam family "Eukaryotic large subunit ribosomal RNA", at positions 40 to 350 of the family's 3401-position model. Lineage: Eukaryota; Fungi; Ascomycota; Sordariomycetes; Magnaporthales; Magnaporthaceae. The record is from RNAcentral.
AUAUCAAUAAGCGGAGGAAAAGAAACCAACAGGGAUUGCCCCAGUAACGGCGAGUGAAGCGGCAACAGCUCAAAUUUGAAAUCUGGCCCCUGGGCCCGAGUUGUAAUUUGCAGAGGAUGCUUCUGGCGCGGCGCCUUCCGAGUCCCCUGGAAUGGGGCGCCAUAGAGGGUGAGAGCCCCGUAUGGUUGGACGCUAAGCCUGUGUGAAGCUCCUUCGACGAGUCGAGUAGUUUGGGAAUGCUGCUCAAAAUGGGAGGUAAAUUUCUUCUAAAGCUAAAUACCGGCCAGAGACCGAUAGCGCACAAGUA